AUGCAGUGCACUUGGAUAUUGAUGGUGGAAAAAUAAGAGGGAGAAAACCCAGUACAACUGCUGUACCAGAGUUUUCCUCUGAAUCUAGCUCUCGCAGUCUUCACAAGGGACCUACCACAUGGAACCUACAAAUCCUUAAAGCACCACGGCAGAUAUAAGGUACAGCAGAUGUGCCAAAGUUUUGGUCGUAAGAAAAUCAAACACAGCAACAAAGAAACAUCCAUGCGCUCACCAUGGCUAAAGAGCCGCCCACGAUGGAUGGCAUCGUGUUGAUUUAGUUGAAACUUGGAAGUGUCCUAGUUUUCUGCUAUGAAUUGAAGAGAAACUACUAAAAAUUCGAUCGAUUAUAGAAGAUGAUGGCUCAAUAUCAACCUAGCAUCACGCUUCCACGUAAAUCUCAGUUUGAAGGAUGCUUAGUAUAUUGCAGAGAUGUUUUUCACCUUCACCGAAGACCUGAUUGUCCCACUGCAACACAGGGAGAACAAGUUCUCCACUGCCAAUAAGCUUCAUGAUCUCAUCAGCCUUCCUUCCUUCCUUCCUUCCUCCACAGUCACUUUUUUACCUUUAUUCCAUGGAGUUUACCCUCCCUUAGCAGCUCCUCUGAUAGCGUCAAAACUCACAUAGCAGUGCACCCGCUCAAAAUUCUGUCAAAGGCAGCCAUCAGAAGGUCUUUUUCCUAGGCAGCAAAUGCCACAUUCAUGUAAGGUCGUCCUUCAGCGAUGAAUCCAUCAUUAUCCAGCCAAAUGGAUGCAUAUGCACCAUUCUCCUCUGCUUCCAUCUUUGAAGGCACGUUAGGAAGAGAAGUUGAAUGAGAAUCCAUGGGUGAAGAAAACCAAUGAGAGCAGAGCUUUCCGUCAAAUAGUGGCUGAUCGUAUAAUCGGUUUUCCUUUUCCUACCAAUCUAAUUCAUUUUUUUUUUAAUCAAUGAUGAAGAUUUGAAUUGCUCUAAACCAUGCUGUUGCUGACUUCAUGUGUCUGGAUUCCAAGAAAAAUUAAGGCAAGUCGUUUGUUUAUAAAUUUUGCCAGCGAGAAAUUAUUUUUAAAAAAAGAGAAAUUACAAUUAUACCCUCGUAUUCUUGUAUAGGUUUUUAUUUGAUCUUUCUCCAAUGUCAUCCUCAACCUUUUAAAAUUGUACACAAUCUUCCCUCAAUGUUAAGUCUCUCAAUUUCAAAUUUAAAUAUUCCCAUGUUCUUUUAUGAUA
Long non-coding RNA from Populus nigra (black poplar), 1200 nucleotides. RefSeq lists it as uncharacterized. The transcript has 2 exons. Lineage: Eukaryota; Viridiplantae; Streptophyta; Magnoliopsida; Malpighiales; Salicaceae. The record is from RefSeq and is a predicted model, not a curated record.